GUUCUCUCUUGGGUAGCAUAUAUACUGAAACUGGAACAAUACAGAGAAGAUUAGCAUGGCCUCUGUGGAAGCAUGAAAAGCGAAUUUGUGAAGUGUUCAAAAAAGAA
Molecule: small nuclear RNA, 107 nt
Organism: Meriones unguiculatus (Mongolian gerbil)
Lineage: Eukaryota; Metazoa; Chordata; Mammalia; Rodentia; Muridae
Source: RefSeq, a predicted model, not a curated record